ACCCCGGGCGCUCGGGCCGCUGUGGCCGGAGCCCUAGGUCCUCGCGGGCUGCCCUGAGCAGAGUCCAGCGCCGGCGCUUCCCCUUUUUUUCGGCUGCCGCGCCCACUGGUGGGGGGGUGGCACGGUCCCAGGAAUUUGUGGUUCCUUUUUCCCGGAUGCGCUGGGGCACCAGGGUCAGUCCUGUGUGAGCAUCUCGACCUGCACAAGCCUGCUGGGAAACAGAACUGAGGCACUGGAAGUGGGUUCUGGGGAACGAAGAGCUUCUCUUUUUUGCCUGCCCUGACACUCCCAUCUUCAGAAAGUGUGCAGAGGUCAGAGGAGAGCCGCCGUUCCAGCUUCCGGGAUCACCGAGGGGAGGCUGGAGAGAAUGGACUGGCACCUGGGUCUCUUCAAGGACAGGCCUAGGUUAGCCCCCUUCUCGCCGAGGUCGGAAGAAUUAAGAGGGGUGUCACUGGAAGGGGCGUCAGUGGACACCAGUUUGAGGUCGUUGAGGGGUUGAAAGGUAGCAUUGGGGCCUGGAUGUGUGCCUGAGUCUCUGAAGGGUCAACAGGGGCAUGAUGUCAGGUGGUCAAUUUAAUUCACUAGGGGCUAUCAGAGUAUUUAAGGGCACACUUUCUUAAAGGUCCCGGUAGGAAGUGGUUUUGGCUUUGCUAUCGCUGCCCCAGCUGCUUAACUCAGCUGUGGCAGCAUGAAAGCAGACAAUAUAGUGUGGCUGUGUCCCAAAGAAACCAUUUAUGGACAAAGAAAUCAGAAUUUCAUGUAAUGUUCAUGUGUCAUGAAUUAUUCUAGUGUGUGUGUGUGGCCUACAGGCUGUCGUUUGCUGACCUUGGCUGAAGUGAUGGAGCGAUCAAAGUGGCUCUGUGGGGAUCAGCAGCUAGGGCUGUUUGAUUUAUCGUGGGGUCCGCAGGGGUCACUGUGAGAUUCAUGUUCAUCAUUUAUCAGUUUCAUCUUUGAGCAUUCUCAGGGAGGUAAUUGUUUAGGAUGGUGGUG
This 990-nucleotide long non-coding RNA is filed under the name Homo sapiens (human). RNAcentral describes it as "non-protein coding lnc-CCDC115-3:2". Lineage: Eukaryota; Metazoa; Chordata; Mammalia; Primates; Hominidae. The record is from RNAcentral.